Molecule: transfer RNA, 71 nt
Filed under: Marmota monax (woodchuck)
Lineage: Eukaryota; Metazoa; Chordata; Mammalia; Rodentia; Sciuridae
Description: tRNA.Ala
Rfam family: tRNA
About the family: Transfer RNA (tRNA) molecules are approximately 80 nucleotides in length. Their secondary structure includes four short double-helical elements and three loops (D, anti-codon, and T loops). Further hydrogen bonds mediate the characteristic L-shaped molecular structure. tRNAs have two regions of fundamental functional importance: the anti-codon, which is responsible for specific mRNA codon recognition, and the 3' end, to which the tRNAs corresponding amino acid is attached (by aminoacyl-tRNA synthetases). tRNAs cope with the degeneracy of the genetic code in two manners: having more than one tRNA (with a specific anti-codon) for a particular amino acid; and 'wobble' base-pairing, i.e. permitting non-standard base-pairing at the 3rd anti-codon position.
Source: RNAcentral
GGGGCUGUAGCUUAGUGGUAGAGCUCUUGCCUUGCAAAUAUGAGGCACUGAAUUUGAUCCUCAGCACCACA